This is a non-coding RNA of Betaproteobacteria bacterium RBG_16_58_11, 444 nucleotides long. The record is from Rfam. Lineage: Bacteria; Pseudomonadati; Pseudomonadota; Betaproteobacteria.
AAAGCUGACUAGGCAGUCGCUCGCUGCGCGGCUGAGGUUCGGGUUAUCCGGAUUUCGGCGGUGGCGAGAGGAAAGUCCGGGCUCCACAGAGCAGGGUGCCGGUUAACGACCGGACGCCGCGAGGCGAUGGAAAGUGGCACAGAAAAUAUACCGCCGAUGGCCUGGACUUGCCGCCCGUAAGGGCGGCAAAGUCCCCCAAGAAGAGCAGCGCAAGCUGCAAUGAUUGGGUUAGGCACAGGUAAGGUUGAAAUGGUGGGGUAAGAGCCCACCGCACUGGUGGCAACAUUCAGUGGCAGGCUAAACCCCACCCGGAGCAAGACCAAAUAGGGAAACAUUGGCGCUGCUCGCGUUGUUUCCGGGUAGGUUGCUCGAGCGCCGUGGCAACGCGGCGCCUAGAUAGAUGACUGUCCACGACAGAACCCGGCUUAUCGGUCAGCUUUCACC